AUUAAAGUUGUUGCAGUUAAAAAGCUCGUAGUUGGACUUGUGUGCGCUGUCCGCGGGUGGCCUGCGCCCAAAAGGGCGUUUCGGUUCGGCCCCGGUGGCGCCUUGAAAUCUGCAGCUGGGGGGACGUUGGCCUUAACUGGUCGGCGACCGCACGCCGGCUGCUCGGUUACUGUGAGAAAAUUAGAGUGUUCAAGGCAGGCAUUGGGUGCAAUUGAAUACAUUAGCAUGGAAUAAUAAAAUAUGGCUCCUGCCGUAUUUUGUUGGUUUUGACUGGUGGGAGUAAUGAUUGAUAGGGACGGUUGGGGGUGCUAGUAUUGAGCGGCCAGAGGUGAAAUUCAUGGAUUCGCUCAAGACUAACUUAUGCGAAAGCAUUCACCAAGGACGUCCUCUUUAAUCAAGAACGAAAGUUGGGGGAUCGAAGACGAUCAGAUACCGUCGUAGUCUCAACCAUAAACUAUGUCGACUUGGGAUCGGCGGUAGUUUUUUCAUUAAGACACUGUCGGGACCACGGGAGAAAUCAAAGUGUCUGGACUCUGGGGGAAGUAUGGUCGCAAGGCUGAAACUUGAAGGAAUUGACGGAAGGGCACCACCAGGAGUGGAGCCUGCGGCUUAAUUUGACCCAACACGGGGAAACUUACCAGGUCCAGAGAUGUAGAGGAUUGACAGAUUGAAGCUCUUUCUUGAUCACUUCGGUGGUGGUGCAUGGCCGUUCUUAGUUGGUGGAGUGAUUUGUCUGGUUAAUUCCGUUAACGAACGAGACCUCAGCCUGCUAGUGUAGUCGGCUGGAUUGCCUUUGGCGAUCCGUGAUUUCGACUUCUUAGAGGGACAAUCGACGCGCAGUCGAUGGAAGUUUGAGGCAAUAACAGGUCUGUGAUGCCCUUAGAUGUUCUGGGCCGCACGCGCGCUACACUGCUGGGCUCAGCGAGUUUUACUUGGCCGAGAGGCCCGGUUAAUCUUGUGAAAUCCCAGCGUGCUUGGGCUCGCCUCCUGCAACUGGAGGCGCCAACGAGGAAUUCCUAGUAGACGCAGGUCAUCAACCUGCAUCGAUUACGUUCCUGCCCUUUGUACACACCGCCCGUCGUUCCAUAAGAGUGAGGCAUCCGGUGAAUUCUCGGGAGAGCCUGGGCGUGGCCAGCAAUGGUCUGCUCGGGUUUGAACUUGCAUAAACUUGGUGCCUAUGAUUAGGG
RNAcentral lists this ribosomal RNA (1187 nucleotides) under metagenome. Its description in RNAcentral is "SSU rRNA". It matches the Rfam family "Eukaryotic small subunit ribosomal RNA", at positions 603 to 1783 of the family's 1831-position model. The record is from RNAcentral.